Molecule: ribosomal RNA, 2903 nt
Filed under: Escherichia coli
Lineage: Bacteria; Pseudomonadati; Pseudomonadota; Gammaproteobacteria; Enterobacterales; Enterobacteriaceae
Also listed under: 9 other names
Description: 23S ribosomal RNA
Rfam family: Bacterial large subunit ribosomal RNA
Source: RNAcentral
GGUUAAGCGACUAAGCGUACACGGUGGAUGCCCUGGCAGUCAGAGGCGAUGAAGGACGUGCUAAUCUGCGAUAAGCGUCGGUAAGGUGAUAUGAACCGUUAUAACCGGCGAUUUCCGAAUGGGGAAACCCAGUGUGUUUCGACACACUAUCAUUAACUGAAUCCAUAGGUUAAUGAGGCGAACCGGGGGAACUGAAACAUCUAAGUACCCCGAGGAAAAGAAAUCAACCGAGAUUCCCCCAGUAGCGGCGAGCGAACGGGGAGCAGCCCAGAGCCUGAAUCAGUGUGUGUGUUAGUGGAAGCGUCUGGAAAGGCGCGCGAUACAGGGUGACAGCCCCGUACACAAAAAUGCACAUACUGUGAGCUCGAUGAGUAGGGCGGGACACGUGGUAUCCUGUCUGAAUAUGGGGGGACCAUCCUCCAAGGCUAAAUACUCCUGACUGACCGAUAGUGAACCAGUACCGUGAGGGAAAGGCGAAAAGAACCCCGGCGAGGGGAGUGAAAAAGAACCUGAAACCGUGUACGUACAAGCAGUGGGAGCCUCUUUUAUGGGGUGACUGCGUACCUUUUGUAUAAUGGGUCAGCGACUUAUAUUCUGUAGCAAGGUUAACCGAAUAGGGGAGCCGAAGGGAAACCGAGUCUUAACCGGGCGUUAAGUUGCAGGGUAUAGACCCGAAACCCGGUGAUCUAGCCAUGGGCAGGUUGAAGGUUGGGUAACACUAACUGGAGGACCGAACCGACUAAUGUUGAAAAAUUAGCGGAUGACUUGUGGCUGGGGGUGAAAGGCCAAUCAAACCGGGAGAUAGCUGGUUCUCCCCGAAAGCUAUUUAGGUAGCGCCUCGUGAAUUCAUCUCCGGGGGUAGAGCACUGUUUCGGCAAGGGGGUCAUCCCGACUUACCAACCCGAUGCAAACUGCGAAUACCGGAGAAUGUUAUCACGGGAGACACACGGCGGGUGCUAACGUCCGUCGUGAAGAGGGAAACAACCCAGACCGCCAGCUAAGGUCCCAAAGUCAUGGUUAAGUGGGAAACGAUGUGGGAAGGCCCAGACAGCCAGGAUGUUGGCUUAGAAGCAGCCAUCAUUUAAAGAAAGCGUAAUAGCUCACUGGUCGAGUCGGCCUGCGCGGAAGAUGUAACGGGGCUAAACAAUGCACCGAAGCUGCGGCAGCGACACUGUGUGUUGUUGGGUAGGGGAGCGUUCUGUAAGCCUGUGAAGGUGUACUGUAAGGUAUGCUGGAGGUAUCAGAAGUGCGAAUGCUGACAUAAGUAACGAUAAAGCGGGUGAAAAGCCCGCUCGCCGGAAGACCAAGGGUUCCUGUCCAACGUUAAUCGGGGCAGGGUGAGUCGACCCCUAAGGCGAGGCCGAAAGGCGUAGUCGAUGGGAAACAGGUUAAUAUUCCUGUACUUGGUGUUACUGCGAAGGGGGGACGGAGAAGGCUAUGUUGGCCGGGCGACGGUUGUCCCGGUUUAAGCGUGUAGGCUGGUUUUCCAGGCAAAUCCGGAAAAUCAAGGCUGAGGCGUGAUGACGAGGCACUACGGUGCUGAAGCAACAAAUGCCCUGCUUCCAGGAAAAGCCUCUAAGCAUCAGGUAACAUCAAAUCGUACCCCAAACCGACACAGGUGGUCAGGUAGAGAAUACCAAGGCGUUUGAGAGAACUCGGGUGAAGGAACUAGGCAAAAUGGUGCCGUAACUUCGGGAGAAGGCACGCUGAUAUGUAGGUGAAGUCCCUCGCGGAUGGAGCUGAAAUCAGUCGAAGAUACCAGCUGGCUGCAACUGUUUAUUAAAAACACAGCACUGUGCAAACACGAAAGUGGACGUAUACGGUGUGACGCCUGCCCGGUGCCGGAAGGUUAAUUGAUGGGGUCAGCGCAAGCGAAGCUCUUGAUCGAAGCCCCGGUAAACGGCGGCCGUAACUAUAACGGUCCUAAGGUAGCGAAAUUCCUUGUCGGGUAAGUUCCGACCUGCACGAAUGGCGUAAUGAUGGCCAGGCUGUCUCCACCCGAGACUCAGUGAAAUUGAACUCGCUGUGAAGAUGCAGUGUACCCGCGGCAAGACGGAAAGACCCCGUGAACCUUUACUAUAGCUUGACACUGAACAUUGAGCCUUGAUGUGUAGGAUAGGUGGGAGGCUUUGAAGUGUGGACGCCAGUCUGCAUGGAGCCGACCUUGAAAUACCACCCUUUAAUGUUUGAUGUUCUAACGUGGACCCGUGAUCCGGGUUGCGGACAGUGUCUGGUGGGUAGUUUGACUGGGGCGGUCUCCUCCUAAAGAGUAACGGAGGAGCACGAAGGUUGGCUAAUCCUGGUCGGACAUCAGGAGGUUAGUGCAAUGGCAUAAGCCAGCUUGACUGCGAGCGUGACGGCGCGAGCAGGUGCGAAAGCAGGUCAUAGUGAUCCGGUGGUUCUGAAUGGAAGGGCCAUCGCUCAACGGAUAAAAGGUACUCCGGGGAUAACAGGCUGAUACCGCCCAAGAGUUCAUAUCGACGGCGGUGUUUGGCACCUCGAUGUCGGCUCAUCACAUCCUGGGGCUGAAGUAGGUCCCAAGGGUAUGGCUGUUCGCCAUUUAAAGUGGUACGCGAGCUGGGUUUAGAACGUCGUGAGACAGUUCGGUCCCUAUCUGCCGUGGGCGCUGGAGAACUGAGGGGGGCUGCUCCUAGUACGAGAGGACCGGAGUGGACGCAUCACUGGUGUUCGGGUUGUCAUGCCAAUGGCACUGCCCGGUAGCUAAAUGCGGAAGAGAUAAGUGCUGAAAGCAUCUAAGCACGAAACUUGCCCCGAGAUGAGUUCUCCCUGACCCUUUAAGGGUCCUGAAGGAACGUUGAAGACGACGACGUUGAUAGGCCGGGUGUGUAAGCGCAGCGAUGCGUUGAGCUAACCGGUACUAAUGAACCGUGAGGCUUAACCUU